RNAcentral lists this ribosomal RNA (519 nucleotides) under uncultured bacterium. RNAcentral's name for it is "bacterial SSU rRNA". It matches the Rfam family "Bacterial small subunit ribosomal RNA", at positions 97 to 591 of the family's 1533-position model. The record is from RNAcentral.
GGCGCAAGGGUGAGUAACGCGUGGGUAAUUCGCCUUCGAGAUCGGGAUAACAUUUCGAAAGAGAUGCUAAUACCGGCUAAGACUACAGAGGCUUUGGCCUCAGCAGUAAAAGAUGGCUUCUUAUUAGGAAGCUAUCACUCGAAGAGAAGCCCGCGUUCUAUUAGCUAGUUGGUAGGGUAAUGGCUUACCAAGGCGAAGAUGGAUAGCUGGUCUAAGAGGAUGGUCAGCCACACUGGGACUGAGACACUGCCCAGACUUCUACGGGAGGCUGCAGUCGAGAAUCUUUCGCAAUGGGGGAAACCCUGACGAAGCGACGCCGCGUGAGUGAUGAAGGCCUUCGGGUUGUAAAGCUCUGUCACUUGGGAGGAAGAUCCUUGACACCAAUAAUGUCAAGGGUUGACAGUACCAAGAGAGGAAGCCCCGGCUAACUCCGUGCCAGCAGCCGCGGUAAUACGGAGGGGGCGAGCGUUGUUCGGAUUUAUUGGGUGUAAAGGGUGUGUAGGCGGUCUUGUAAGUCAG